Non-coding RNA from Anneissia japonica, 129 nucleotides. RefSeq annotates it as small Cajal body-specific RNA 8. NCBI's taxonomy places the organism in Eukaryota, Metazoa, Echinodermata, Crinoidea, Comatulida, Comatulidae. The transcript has a single exon. The record is from RefSeq and is a predicted model, not a curated record.
UGGGAGCUGAUAAGCCAGCAAUUUCAAAAUAUAAUUGUCUGGUCACAUGAUCUCCCUAUAGUAUACUGCCCUCUGAAGACGGUGACGCAGGAAGCAAACUCGUCACGGACAGAUACGGAGCAGACAAAU